AUUGAACGCUGGCGGCAUGCCUAACACAUGCAAGUCGAGCGGAUGAAGGGAGCUUGCUCCUGGAUUCAGCGGCGGACGGGUGAGUAAUGCCUAGGAAUCUGCCUGGUAGUGGGGGAUAACGUCCGGAAACGGGCGCUAAUACCGCAUACGUCCUGAGGGUGAAAGUGGGGGAUCUUCGGACCUAACGCUAUUAGAUGAGCCUAGGUCGGAUUAGCUAGUUGGUGUGGUAACGGCCUACCAAGGCGACGAUCCGUAACUGGUCUGAGAGGAUGAUCAGUCACACUGGAACUGAGACACGGUCCAGACUCCUACGGGAGGCAGCAGUGGGGAAUAUUCGACAAUGGGCGAAAGCCUGAUCGAGCCAUGCCGCGUGUGUGAAGAAGGUCUUCGGAUCGUAAAGCACUUUAAGUAGGGAAGAACGGAAGUAAGUUAAUACCUUGCUGUUUUGACGGUACCUACAGAAUAAGCACCGGCUAACUACGUG
Molecule: ribosomal RNA, 484 nt
Filed under: uncultured bacterium
Lineage: Bacteria
Description: partial 16S ribosomal RNA
Rfam family: Bacterial small subunit ribosomal RNA
Source: RNAcentral